This 460-nucleotide ribosomal RNA is filed under the name uncultured bacterium. RNAcentral describes it as "partial 16S ribosomal RNA". It matches the Rfam family "Bacterial small subunit ribosomal RNA", at positions 338 to 795 of the family's 1533-position model. The record is from RNAcentral.
CCUACGGUGAGCAGCAGUGAGGAAUAUUGGUCAAUGGACGCAAGUCUGAACCAGCCAUGCCGCGUGCAGGAAGACGGCUCUAUGAGUUGUAAACUGCUUUUGUACGAGGGUAAACGCAGAUACGCGUAUCUGUCUGAAAGUAUCGUACGAAUAAGGAUCGGCUAACACCGUGCCAGCAGCCGCGGUAAUACGGAGGAUUCAAGCGUUAUCCGGAUUUAUUGGGUUUAAGGGGUGCGUAGGCGGUCGGAUAAGUUAGAGGUGAAAUCCCGAGGCUCAACUUCGGAAUUGCCUCUGAUACUGUUCGGCUAGAGAGUAGUUGCGGUAGGCGGAAUGUAUGGUGUAGCGGUGAAAUGCUUAGAGAUCAUACAGAACACCGAUUGCGAAGGCAGCUUACCAAGCUACUUCUGACGUUGAGGCACGAAAGCGUGGGGAGCAAACAGGAUUAGAUACCCGGGUAGUC